AUGCCCCCCCCCCCCCUCGGUGAGCCAUGGUUGAUUAAUGGAGACUUCAACAUCAUUUACAAAUCUUGGGACAAGAACAACCUCAACCUAAACUGGAGAAUCAUGGGAAUGUUCAGAUCGGCAAUUGACAGAGCAGGCCUAAGAGAGAUUAAGUGCAAAAAUAGAAGAUUUACUUGGACAAAUGAGAGGGAAAAUCCAACGAUGGUUAGCAUUGAUAAAGUUUUCUGCAACAUGGAAUGGGAGGCUAUAUUCCCCUCCGUCAUUCUCAUGGUUGAAUCCACGGCCUGCUCGGAUCAUUGCCCUCUUUUGCUGGCGAAUACUGCUACCCCAUGCAGGCGGCCGGCCUUCCGUUUUGAAACUUUCUGGCCAAAGUUUCAACACUUCUAG
This 387-nucleotide ribosomal RNA is filed under the name Triticum aestivum (bread wheat). RNAcentral's name for it is "partial small subunit ribosomal RNA". Lineage: Eukaryota; Viridiplantae; Streptophyta; Magnoliopsida; Poales; Poaceae. The record is from RNAcentral.